Long non-coding RNA from Hemicordylus capensis (graceful crag lizard), 2487 nucleotides. RefSeq lists it as uncharacterized. Lineage: Eukaryota; Metazoa; Chordata; Lepidosauria; Squamata; Cordylidae. The record is from RefSeq and is a predicted model, not a curated record. The transcript is spliced from 6 exons.
GGAAUGAACAUUGAUUCAAGUCCUGGUUUCAAACCGUGAAUUAGAAGUGAAUCCUGAUUAGCAUUAGCUAUGCUAACAUCAGUGCAGAAAUAUCACCAAACCAUGCUUAUGGGUGAAAAAGGAAACAGAAACAGAGUCCAAUAAGGCGAACGCUAAGGCGUUUGAAAAGCAACUGACAAGACUGGAGUUCUAACCGCCAAAUCAACAGUUGUACCAGGCAGUUAGAGCACUCGAGGAGCUGAAGAAUUCUUCGCCACGAGGUCCUGCGCAGGCGCAGUACCCAGACUUAUGAUUACCAUGCAGAUCACUUAAAAGAUCAUAACAUCUUUAAGUUCAACUCUGCAUAGAGAUGGAAACAUAUUUUACUUUCUAGGCACCAACACAACCACUGAAGGUGCCUGGGCAAUCAUGUGCCUGGGAUUUUUCCAGUCCUACUAAAAAGGAAACAAAGCUUCCUUUCGGGGCGAAUAACUGCCUGUCAAACAUACAAGUCCUAAUCAACAAUCUUCUUGUGCUUUCUUCUAUCAGAACAAAUAGUCGGUAAGAGAUCUCCUUAAACUAGGAGUCUCUGCAGUAUUCCUCAUCAAAGUAUGCCUCUGUCACUUUUUAGCCUUCCAGAAAGCCAUUUACAAUUCCGGCAAUGUACAUGUACGAGUACAAUCACAGAUAAGAGAUAAUGGAUGAAGGAGGGGAUACCUAUACUGUUUGUCCUUUAUAUGAAAUCUGGAUAGAUAUGCACUCCUUAAAAAAGAUUUCACAGAGAGAACUUCACCCACCUUUCCCACCAUGCAACUGCCAUUUCAUAUAUCUGGAUCAAAUGAUAGAUCUGAAGCAAGUGUUGACCAUAGGAAAACAUUCUAUGGCUUGGGCUGGACCAUAAGAUGCAACUCUAGGAGAAGAUGCAACUCUAAAAAGAAGGAAAAGGACCCCACUUCCUCUCACUCCUACCAGUUAAGAAGCAAGGAUCAGCUUUUCCAGAAUGUGGACAGCUUGGGGAUACCCACUGUGUUCAGAAUUGCACAGAUUUAAAUUAAUCAGUAAAAGUAAUGUGGAAAUUACUACUGGCAAUGCAGAACAUUAUCUGUCCAAAAUUAACAAAGCCACACCAUAAUUUCACUGCUGAAUUUACCAACCUGAAAGACAACUCUGGAUUUCUCAAGCAGAUGCUGAGGACAUUAGAAUGAGAUGAUUCAAUCAAAUAAUAUCCCUGUGCAGAGAUAAUGAUAAUUUACCUCUGUUAUUGGAUUGGAUGCCAACACUUUAUCUUCUACUUGCGCAUUGCUGCUUGAUCUACUGACUGUAGCAAAGUACCUCAUAGCAUAUCUAGCAGAAACUGUUUUUCCUGCUCCUGAUUCUCCACUGACUAUAACAGACUGAUUCUUGUUGUUCCUAAAUCAAGAAGAGAAUGUGUUACUCAAAGAAGGUUGCCUUCAAAGCCCUCCAUAGCCUUGCACCUCCCUAGUAGGGAUGUGCAAACCGGUUCAGACUCUCCUGUCCAAAGGUCUUCUGCUCCUUCAAAUAACUCCCCUACUGCCUCAUACUGAGAACUGCCUCCUAUAACACCCAUGUGAUGUCGCCUCUUUUACUUCCUUCAAAUGCCUUCUUCCACAAAGCCUUUGACACAACACCUUGGUCUCUAUUCUGUACUGUAGCUAAGCUUAAGUACGAGUCAUGGAAAUAACCACAUACUUUCCCCCUGCAUAGCAAGCUUCCAUUCCUCUUCCCUCCUGGUGAGCGCUGUGCUAGACUCUGUAGCAUAGAUAAUGGAGACCUAUAUACACAACAAGCUUGGAUCAAUUUUAUACCACUUUAACUGUCAUGUCUUUUUCCAAAGUAUCCUGGGAACACUGAAUUCCCAGAGUUCCCUGUAGGAAAAGUAACUAUUAAACCAGUUGAAAUAUGCAAUACAGAUAUGACCCUAGAGUCAGCUUCGAACUCAGUAACUAACUCCCUAAGCUUCUCUCUCUCUCUUUCUAAUCUAGUGACCUGAAACCAUAGAGUUUCUGAGAGAUGAAUAUAGACAGGAAGGCACAUUGCAUACUGUGAGCACCACAAAUAUAAUAAAUAACUAGCACAAGGCUUGCAGAAUUGUGCAAAAAGCUAUUUAUACCUGCUUUCUUGAAGACCUUUGCAGAGACCCUUGGUAAUCUCUGAACAGCUGUUCCAGAGUACCUGGACCUUCCUCAAGAAUCAAGGAAACUAUCUGAUCACUUCAUUGAUUCCCAAGAAAUUUUCUUGCAAAGCUUUUGAGAGGCAGUCUUCAGCAUUUUGCAGCGAAAGUCAUCAAUUUUUAAUACCUGUACUGUACAUUUUAAACACAACAUAAAAUACCAUCUACUCAACCUUGCCAUCUGUUUGUAAGCUUCUUCUGCCACAGCAAAUAUAUGUGGAUCCAUAUCCCCCAUAUUCUGGCCACUGUAGGCAUGGAUAAUGGCAUCUCCAUAUAUAGGCAACUGCUUGUAGGGGUUCAUAGCAACCAAAAUUAUU